GACAGAGGGUGCAAACGUUGUUCGGAAUUACUGGGCGUAAAGCGCGUGUAGGCGGCUCGGCAAGUCGGGUGUGAAAGCCCUGGGCUUAACCUAGGAAGUGCACUCGAAACUGCCAAGCUUGGGUUCUGGAGAGGAAGGCGGAAUUCUCGGUGUAGAGGUGAAAUCCGUAGAUAUCGAGAGGAACACCGGUGGCGAAGGCGGCCUUCUGGACAGCAACUGACGCUGAGACGCGAAAGCGUGGGGAGCAAACAGG
RNAcentral lists this ribosomal RNA (253 nucleotides) under uncultured bacterium. RNAcentral's name for it is "partial 16S ribosomal RNA". It matches the Rfam family "Bacterial small subunit ribosomal RNA", at positions 524 to 776 of the family's 1533-position model. The record is from RNAcentral.